RNAcentral lists this ribosomal RNA (497 nucleotides) under uncultured bacterium. RNAcentral's name for it is "partial 16S ribosomal RNA". It matches the Rfam family "Bacterial small subunit ribosomal RNA", at positions 28 to 507 of the family's 1533-position model. The record is from RNAcentral.
GAUGAACGCUGGCGGCGUGCCUAAUACAUGCAAGUCGAGCGAACGGACGAGAAGCUUGCUUCUCUGAUGUUAGCGGCGGACGGGUGAGUAACACGUGGAUAACCUACCUAUAAGACUGGGAUAACUUCGGGAAACCGGAGCUAAUACCGGAUAAUAUUUUGAACCGCAUGGUUCAAAAGUGAAAGACGGUCUUGCUGUCACUUAUAGAUGGAUCCGCGCUGCAUUAGCUAGUUGGCAAGGUAACGGCUUACCAAGGCAACGAUGCAUAGCCGACCUGAGAGGGUGAUCGGCCACACUGGAACUGAGACACGGUCCAGACUCCUACGGGAGGCAGCAGUAGGGAAUCUUCCGCAAUGGGCGAAAGCCUGACGGAGCAACGCCGCGUGAGUGAUGAAGGUCUUCGGAUCGUAAAACUCUGUUAUUAGGGAAGAACAUAUGUGUAAGUAACUGUGCACAUCUUGGCGGUACCUAAUCAGAAAGCCACGGCUAACUACGUG